CGUCUUUUUUCUUCCUCCAAACGUGCAAUGUCUUCUGGGGAUCGUCUCUGCUGACUGAUGAGCUGCAGCUCCUGAAGAAGAGCCUCCUUCUCCUUGAUGAGCUGAAGACGGUCCCUGUCCGCUUCAGCCAUUCCUGGCCAAGAUUCAUUGUCUAGCAAGGCCAGCUGCUGUUGUAUAUUUGAAACUCUUUUCUUGGCCUCUUCAUACUGCCAGUUGAGUCUUACUUUGUCUACAAGUCUUGUUU
Molecule: long non-coding RNA, 244 nt
Filed under: Gallus gallus (chicken)
Lineage: Eukaryota; Metazoa; Chordata; Aves; Galliformes; Phasianidae
Source: RNAcentral